This 460-nucleotide ribosomal RNA is filed under the name uncultured bacterium. RNAcentral's name for it is "partial 16S ribosomal RNA". It matches the Rfam family "Bacterial small subunit ribosomal RNA", at positions 338 to 795 of the family's 1533-position model. The record is from RNAcentral.
CCUACGGGAGGCAGCAGUGAGUAAUAUUGGUCAAUGGACGAGAGUCUGAACCAGCCAAGUAGCGUGAAGGAUGACUGCCCUAUGGGUUGUAAACUUCUUUUAUAUGGGAAUAAAAUGUUCCACGUGUGGGAUUUUGUAUGUACCAUAUGAAUAAGGAUCGGCUAACUCCGUGCCAGCAGCAGCGGUAAUACGGAGGAUCCGAGCGUUAUCCGGAUUUAUUGGGUUUAAAGGGAGCGUAGGUGGAUUGUUAAGUCAGUUGUGAAAGUUUGCGGCUCAACCGUAAAAUUGCAGUUGAAACUGGCAGUCGUGAGUACAGUAGAGGUGGGCGGAAUUCGUGGUGUAGCGGUGAAAUGCUUAGAUAUCACGAAGAACUCCGAUUGCGAAGGCAGCUCACUGGACUGCAACUGACACUGAGGCUCGAAAGUGUGGGUAUCAAACAGGAUUAGAUACCCUGGUAGUC